ACGUACACUCCUGCGGGAGGCAGCAGUGGGGAAUAUUGGACAAUGGGCGCAAGCCUGAUCCAGCCAUGCCGCGUGAGUGAUGAAGGCCCUAGGGUUGUAAAGCUCUUUCACCGGUGAAGAUAAUGACGGUAACCGGAGAAGAAGCCCCGGCUAACUUCGUGCCAGCAGCCGCGGUAAUACGAAGGGGGCUAGCGUUGUUCGGAUUUACUGGGCGUAAAGCGCACGUAGGCGGACUAUUAAGUCAGGGGUGAAAUCCCGGGGCUCAACCCCGGAACUGCCUUUGAUACUGGUAGUCUUGAGUUCGAGAGAGGUGAGUGGAAUUCCGAGUGUAGAGGUGAAAUUCGUAGAUAUUCGGAGGAACACCAGUGGCGAAGGCGGCUCACUGGCUCGAUACUGACGCUGAGGUGCGAAAGCGUGGGGAGCAAACAGGAUUAGAAAUCCCUGUAGUCCC
This 451-nucleotide ribosomal RNA is filed under the name uncultured organism. RNAcentral describes it as "partial 16S ribosomal RNA". It matches the Rfam family "Bacterial small subunit ribosomal RNA", at positions 329 to 797 of the family's 1533-position model. The record is from RNAcentral.